UACCUGGUUGAUCCUGCCAGUUAGUCAUAUGCUUGUCUCAAAGAUUAAGCCAUGCAUGUCUAAGUAUAAGCUUUUAUACGGUGAAACUGCGAAUGGCUCAUUAAAACAGUUAUCGUCUCCUUGACAGUCAUCCAGUUUUGGAUACCUAUGGUAAUUCUAGAGCUAAUACAUAUGAACAGACCCAACUUCUUGGAAGGGUUGUGCUUAUUAGAUACUGAACCAACCCAGGCUUGCCUGGUUUUGAGUUGACUCAUAGUACCCAGCGAAUCGCGCGGUUUUGCCGGCGAUGUGUCAUCCGAGUUUCUGACCUAUCAGCUUCCGACGGGUAGGGUAUUGGCCUACCGUUGCUUUGACGGGUAACGGAGAAUUAGGGUUCGAUUCCGGAGAGGGAGCCUGAGAAACGGCUACCACAUCUAAGGAAGGCAGCAGGCGCGCAAACUACCCAAUCCUGACACAGGGAGGUAGUGACAAGAAAUACCAAUACGAGGCAAUUUCGUCUAGUAAUUGGAAUGAGUGCGAUUCACAACGCUGCACGAGUAUCAAAUUGGAGGGCAAGUCUGGUGCCAGCAGCCGCGGGUAAUUCCAGCUCCAAUAGCGUAUAUUAAAGUUGUUGCGGGUUAAAAAGCUCGUAGUUGGAUUUCUGUCGGGGAGUGGCGCUCCGCCCCCUUGUGGUGAGUAGUCGUCAUGCCACCGGCAUCUUUCUUGGGGAGCGUGUCUUGCACUUCACUGUGGUGGCGCGCAAGCCAGGACAUUUACUUGAGGAAAUGAGAGUGUUUCAAGCAGGGGCACGCCGUGAAUACGUUAGGAUGGAAUAAUAGCAUCGGACCUCGCUCCAAAGCUGUUGGUUUCUUGGGUCGAGGUAAAGGUGAAUAGGGAUUGUUGGGGGCAUUCGUAUUUAACUGUCAGAGGUGAAAUUCUUGGAUUUGUUGAAGACGGACUACUGCGAAAGCAUUUGCCAAAGAUGUUCUCAUUGAUCAAGAACGAAAGUUAGGUGGUCGAAACGAUCAGAUACCGGCCUAGUCUUAACCAUAUACUAUGCCGACUGGGGAUAGGGGUCGUUAAAUUGGUGACGCCUUCUGCAUCUUGAGAGAAAUCAAAGUACUUUGGAUUCCGGAGGGAGUAUGGUCGCAAGGCUGAACUUAAAAGGAAUUGACGGAAGGGCACCACCAGGAGUGGAGCCUGCGGCUUAAAUUUGACUCAACACGGGGAAACUUACCAGGUCCAGACAUAGUGAGGAUUGACAGACUGAUAGCUCUUUCGAGAUUCUAUGGGUGGUGGUGCAUGGCCGUUCUUAGUUGGUGGAGUGAUUUGUCUGGUUAAUUCCGUUAACGAUCGAGACCUUAACCUGCUAAAUAGGCUCGGGGGGUGGGUGGGGUUCCAGGAGGCCUUCUUAGAGGGACGUCGCGUGUCUAACGCUAGGAAGUGUGAGGCAAUAACAGGUCUGUGAUGCCCUUAGAUGUUCUGGGCUGCACGCGCGCUACACUGAUGCGUUCAACGAGUGUUUCUAUCCUGCUCCGGAAGGAACGGGCAACCUUGUGAAAACGCAUCGUGAUGGGGAUAGAUUAUUGCAAUUGUUAAUCUUCAACGAGGAAUUCCUAGUAAGCGCGAGUCAUCAACUCGUGCUGAUUACGUCCCUGCCCUUUGUACACACCGCCCGUCGCUCCUACCGAUUGAGUGAUCCGGUGAAUAAUUCGGACUACAGGUCGCGCAGUUUCUGUGCUUCGCUGCAGGAAGUUUAGUAAACCUUAUCACUUAGAGGAAGGAGAAGUCGUAACAAGGUUUCCGUAGGUGAAACCUGCAGAAGGAUC
Molecule: ribosomal RNA, 1808 nt
Filed under: uncultured eukaryote
Lineage: Eukaryota
Description: SSU rRNA
Rfam family: Eukaryotic small subunit ribosomal RNA
Source: RNAcentral